RNAcentral lists this transfer RNA (89 nucleotides) under Methylobacterium isbiliense. RNAcentral describes it as "tRNA-Leu". The record is from RNAcentral. Lineage: Bacteria; Pseudomonadati; Pseudomonadota; Alphaproteobacteria; Hyphomicrobiales; Methylobacteriaceae.
GCUAGCACGGGCCGGCCGGACGGCCAGCGGGUCAAAUCCGCUCAGGCCGGCGGGCCGGGGCGGGGGGCUCGGCGGCCUCGUGCAGGCUC